AGGUGCAGUCUCAUCUCAAGUUAGCUAACAUGAUUUAAAAUCCUAGUGAAGACAAGGCAGUUUGUAGUUUUCACAUGAACUGUCAGGUUGAGUUAACACAUCUGUUUUUUUUCCUAGUGAAGAAUCAGCAAUGGAAGGUAUUGCAGUCCUCUACUCAGUCUAGACGUGACAAAAGUGUGAAUAGCAGUAACCACAUCCACAUCUGAAAAAAAAGACUGCAAUAAGGAGCUGCUGGCCAAAUAACUGGGAUUUAUGGAAGAAGAGAGGGAGAAAACAAAAGAGCCCACUUUGCCUGAUCAGACUGUGCUUGUAGAUUUAACAUGAACACAUACCUUUGUGUUGUUAGUAGCAGUUUGUAUUAACUAGGGAAGUUAAAAUGUGUUGUGCCUUUUUUUUUUGGUAAACAUGUAACUACAAAAUAUCAGCAGUUACACAUUUACACGUGGGGAGGGGGAUGGAGACAGCUCCAUGGGAGCUGGUAUGUGUGGGGAGCCAACCCACCUCUCCUCUUCCCCCUGCCCUGGUGCCACUGUAUCAGAGGCAACAGCAGGGGCAAUGAGAUGGGAGCCGGUGCUUGCGGUGACCCAUGUACCAUUUAAACAUGUACAGUAUCACAUCCCUAGUGUUAAUUUCUGUUGCCAGUUCCAAAAACUCCUUAGAUGACUUGGUCACCCACUUUUCACCUUAACACAUCACGAUUUCAAGAAUGAGUUGUUGUACAUAUAUAGAAAAAUACCUUGCACUUACAGCAUUUUUCAUCCAAAAGUCAUAGAAUCAUUUAUAUAAAAUCUCAACACUCCAUAAAGUGAUUAUCUUCAUUUUACAGAUGAGAGGCCUAAUCUGGUACAAGCACCCAAAGUAGGAUUGUUCCAUUGAGAGGAAGAAGUAAAAUGGGAUCCAAGUCAAGGCCACCCCUUGCCUGAAUUCACAUGUGCACACUGACUCACUUUGUGGGGAAACCCCCACCUACCCUGGGAACAUCAGAACACCCCUGCCCUCCUUAGGGAAAAACUGCAUGGAAGAAUCAGCCAGUAGGGGCACUUGCAAAAGCAGAGACCUCCAGCAUUCAGAGAAUUUUCUAUAGUUUUGACUGGACUUUUUCUACUCUGUGCUGAGUGGCUUGUUUUCUCCACCCUGCCCCUUCCUCAAAAUCUCAUCCAAUUUUCAACCUGCAUCUGCCCAUCUCAUCUUCUGCCUCUUGUACUUAGUUUAUCCCUUCUUAACAUACCCAAAGCCCCCCAAAUCUUGGAACCAAUAUGCCUUUUGCUGCCAUCACAUGGUUGGUUGACUGCUUGUGUUCAUCCAUUACCCCCAUCCUGUGUCUCUCUAGAUUGAAAGCUCUUCAAAAGCAGGGACAGUGUUGCAGUGUAUGCACAGUACCUAGCACAAUGGUGCCAUAACAAACAUGACAAAUAAUAAUGACUGAAGUUAACUGGUAUUUUUCUGUUGACUUUAGUUGUAAAGAUUAGAAUUACAUAAAUAAAUGAGUUCCAGUUCACUUCAAAAUAGCAUUAACUAUUCCCUUCCUCUGCCGCCAAAGGAGUCAUAAUUGAUGGAGAAUUUCCAUUGACCCAUCUGAGUUCAGAAGUGACUGGAGGGAGAAAAUAUUAGUGUGUCUGUUAUACUGGGUUAUUAUAUACUGAGGAGUAACUGUUCACUGGUUACUCUCCUCUCCCCCUUUAUUAGCAUCAGUCUCUUUUUUAGAAACCAUCUCCUUAAAAGUAAAUACACACAUUGCUCCAGCUCAGACCACUCCCAAUAGUAAGACAUGUUUAGGACCAAGAGAGCUUUGUUAUUUCUGAGACAGUAAUCCAUUUCAAGGAGAACAAUGUCUGCUGUUACUAAUACAAUGACUUUAGUGAGGCUCUGGUUUCAGCACAAUUUCCUAAUGAGUUUGGGGUCUAUUUAAAUAGUAUGUUGUUUCAACUAGCUUGUUUUUUAGAUGAAGUAAUAAACAUUUUUGCCUCAGAGCUGUCCUGUUCUUGAUUUUAGAACCACACACACAAGAUGCAUGCAUGUGCAAUUUUGAUGUCUGCUUUAGUUCAAAUAUUAUCCAUGUUAAUGUGUGACAAAAUGUGGAGAACAAACCAUUUGUGUAUUAGAGCUUGCUGCCAAUAUAUUUAUUGGAAUUUGGUAACUAAACCUGUGAUCUAGCAAGAGAGUACAACUUACUGUCCCUUGCCCAGCUAGCUAUAUCAAAUACUUAAUAUCUAUGGGUAACUGGAACCUGGUAUGGAAUUUACUGGGUUCAUACAUCCUCUUUUCAGUCAAGAAGUUGUUGUAUUUUUAAGGGAAGGAAAAAGAUCCCAUAUCUCUUCAAGUAAAGGAAGAUGGAUAUAUUGUCAGGCUCAAUUAGAUCCAAUUGUGUUGGCUUUCUCUAAAGAGAACAAUGCAGCUUUUGUGAUUUAACUCCCAACAGAAAGGUUCAUAGUUUUACAAAAAUAAUCCUACAGCCAUCUAGGUGCUAGCCCUUUUCUCUGGUGUGCAGAGGAGAACCUAGUGAAACUCUGCCCUCCUAACAGGAAGUGGAUUUUUUCUAAAGGGGGGAGGUGUCUGCAGCCUGAAAGAAGGCAUUAUGAAUACUCUAGUUUCAGUCAAAAAUACACCAAAAUAUACAAGCUAGACGGUCAGAACUUAUUACAACUGGAGGCAGCCAUAAUCUCUUUGGUAGAGCUGUAUUGUAGAGAGCUCAUCUACCUGGUUGUAACUUGAGAUAAGAUGGCUAGGAGAGAAUAGUUUGGAUGAAACAAAGUAGCCUGCUACAGUACUAGAAGUACUUAAAAUGCAAAUGUACAGGAACUCUAGACCAUCCCCCACCACCCCUCCUCUGCACGGAGGAAAGCAGCUUAAAUACAGCCAGGCCUGGAGAGGAAUGUUAAAAAGAAGGGAAGAAUCGCCCUCCUCCUUUCCAUAGGGACCCUCACAUGGUGAGAUUCAGUAUGCAUGACUGAACAAGCAAGCAAGGACAGCUCCUCUUUUAACUUUCCUGAACAAUGGUUUCGCUCCUUCCAUCAUUUCACAUUCUCUCUACCCCCAAACCUUCUUUAAAAAAAGGGGGGGGGGGAGUUGUACUGCAGUACUUCGAGGGGAGAAAAGCUUUGUUUCAUGUCCUAUAAACAGCUUAAGCCCCCAUUUCAAACAACAAUAAAAAAACCCUCAGAUUCUUAAAUGUUAAAAGUCAUACAUUAAAAAGAAAAAUGUCUACGAUACAAAAGGGCAUCUUAUAUUUUUUUUAAAUUUUAAAAAUCCAACUUUCAUCUCAGUGUGGACAACAGAAAAGUGAAACAGCGUUGUCAAUUUUCUAGUUAUUGGCUUCCAAGUUCUCAUACACUAGCAAAAUCCUGCAAUUUUGAGUUACUAAUAUUUCAGGAAAAAAAUUAACUGUGUGGAAAGAAAAAAAAAAAAGCCCAACAGUUUUCAUAGUAUUUACAUGAAACAGAAACAUUGCCAUGUCUUUUGUUUUACAAACUGUUUUUUCCCUUAAUGUGUUAAGUUUUAUCUGCCACACAUCACUUUACCCCUAAGUACCUUCAUAACAAAUUUUAUCAAUGGUGGUUUGCCCAACCCCAAAACAAACUUGGUACCCCCGCAUCAAUCUCUACUUUCUCUUGAUUUAUUUGAGCAAGUGAACUGUUCUCAGAUACAAUACUAGUCCUUCCAAAAGGAAGCAAAGCUCUCUUGUAAACUUCUAAUUAUGACAUUACUCAACAUCCUGCACAGGACUGACUAGACUCCCCAUUUCCUUUUACUCAGACCAAGUCACUCACUAAAACAAGGGAACAGGCCAAACCCCCUAAGCUACACACUAUGCUUCUUGUAACAAGUAGAUAAAAUACCUACCUUUAAAGAAAACAAAGACAACACAGAUAAGCUUUUUUCAAAAACAUACUUCAUAUUUCCUCUUUUAUUAUAUAAAUAUCAGUUUAACCUUUUACUGUAAGAAUAUAAAAUGUUUUAAGAGGAUCUUUGUUAUUUUUUUAUACAAAUUCACAAACAGUACAAUUAAUCCAUAGGGGUCUCUGGGUUUACUUUAACUCCAUGGUCUGGCCUGUUAUGGAGGAGGAUUUGAGUUUUUGAAUUAAAAAAAAAAAAA
Non-coding RNA from Pelodiscus sinensis (Chinese soft-shelled turtle), 4093 nucleotides. The record is from RefSeq and is a predicted model, not a curated record. NCBI's taxonomy places the organism in Eukaryota, Metazoa, Chordata, Testudines, Trionychidae.